Molecule: long non-coding RNA, 6780 nt
Filed under: Gallus gallus (chicken)
Lineage: Eukaryota; Metazoa; Chordata; Aves; Galliformes; Phasianidae
Source: RNAcentral
GAAGGCGGCCGGCGUCCGCUCCUGGCCCGGCGCUGCGGUGUGGGGUGCUGGGAGCGGAGCUGCUCCGGGAUCUUUCCACGUGCGAGCGAUUCGCUUUCAGGUGAGGCAGGGUGGAACCACACGGGAAUCGUUCUAAUUUCUGCAACGAAAGCCUUGUUUUAAGACGUGUGGAAUUCCUCAAAAGACGGACAGAGGGAUUUUAGGACACAGGUAACUGCAGGGGACGGGAAAUAUAAAGAACAUGGAAAGGCUUCCGGAUCUGCAGGCGGGCGCGAAAGUACCCGGUAAAUGCUGCUGCGUGUUUGGGCUUUUGUUUGUUUGUUUUUCCUCUCCAGUCUUUGCCGUUCAUUAUUGUUAACUGGAGAAACAGUAGGAAAAGCUGUUAGCAGAUGUUGUCUGCUAACAGACAGAAGAGGGAGCUCUUGCCGCGCCUACCCUGGGAAGUGCCCGUCCCUGCGGCUGCUGUACGGAAGCCCUCCUUCGGCAGAGCAGUUCCAGGGAAGGGGCGUGGAACGAAAGCGGUCUCUACUCUUACUUUGCUUGGAGGUGACUGACAGGGCCUUACUUGCCAAAUUCAUGCUGAUGCGGCUCCAUGCUCAGCGGAGGAUGAAGUCAGUGAAAAUGUAAAAAUGUUGCCUGAAGCAAAUAAUGGUGUCUUAUUAAAAACCAAACUCCAGGCAAGCCCUCAGACUCAGAGAACCCACCCUUUUUCCCUCAACAUCCUUGCGUGAGCGUAUGCUAUUGAGUUGGUGGGACAGCUGAUUGAGAGGGAUGAAGUAAAAAUAGGUGUUCAAACACUUGUAAAUUGGAAUCCAGCAAACUGUUACAGAGCUGUUGCACAGUUUGACAGGACUGAAAUGGUCCUGAAGUCAUUUGUACCAAUCCAAAAGCCAACUACUGGCUUUUAAAAAAGAGCCAGAACUUUCCUAGUGGACUCAGGGCCUGCCCUACCUACCACAUCAUUCUGCUUUUGGGUAACUUUCUGAAUCACUGCAUGGCCAAACUGCCUGUGACUGCACAGCACAGGAUCAGGCCCCUGUAAGGGUGUGUUUUUUUUCUUUGUGUCACUGUUUUGUGCUUGUGUCUGUUGGUGCAGGAAGCUUCUGCUCGAGUAGUUGAGUGAUUUAAACAAAUCUCACGAUCGUGUUCAGUCCAUCAGUUAACACACGGUCUGAAGUUCUGUUUCUCAGUAAGCCUAAAGGAUCAUCAGCCCAGCAAAGCGGCAUCCUGAGGGUUUCUAAUGACCUACCCCCCAGUAUGAUGGAACUGCUUUUACAUUCUCUGGUUGCUGUCCUUUCUGUAACGUUCACAUAUUGCCAGUGCAGUUGUUUUCCAACCACUGCUUUCAGUAUGGUUGUCCAUUUAAAAUAAACAGUUACUACUGAAAUGUGGUGUGCAAUGUGGGGAGAGGGAAAAGAAAUAGCAACAACAAAAGGACAGAUGCUUGAAUUUCCCUGCAGUAAACAUGGUUUUAUUAGAUAAUUUUGCUGUGGACUUACAUGACUGCAAAACUCUUUUGUACAGACUUCUGUAAAAUUGUAGUAUUUGUAGAGAGCUGAACGUUUUCAAACUACAUUAUUUCAUGAUUUAUACUAAUAGUUGCUAAGGCACAUGGCUGCUAUAGUAAAAAUGGACUAGUGUUCAUUUCUGCAUGGAUGGUAACAAGUGUUUAGUUUGCUGAGCUUCAGAUAUUAUACCGUGAAAUGAGACUCCUUGACACAUGGUGGCUAAUCCAGUCGUAAUAGCUGGCUACUUGUGUGUAGACGCCGGGGUGACCGGCCUCCCCACAGUUUUCACCCCAACUCACAACACCCCAGACAUAAGCCACAUUUUCUGCAUCAAAGCAAACCAGGGGACCUCCUGAAUCACCUUUGCAGCUGUCAAUGGAGCCAUCGUAAGUACCUGCGGCAAAAGAGGGUGGGGGAACAACAACAACUCAAAAGUAAGUUUAUAUGCAAGCUAGCACACAAAGUAGAGCUCAGGAGGCUUUUUAGAUCCAUGUCACUUCCUGACAGGUGUCUGCCUAGCAGUCACUACUACUGGAAGUUCCCAGUCUCUUUGGUCUACUAUUUCUUAAUUAUUUUGAAGUGCAGCCCCCCCUCUUUACAAUUUUGGCUGGCCCAAAAGCUCAUUUGCUUUCACGUCAGGAAUGUGAUUCUUCUUGUGACAGAGAAGAAUUCAGACAUAUUGUAUAUUAUAUCAUUAGAAGUAGCUUAUAAAAAGGGGACAGAAGGUAGAAGAAAAGGGUAAGAAGAUUAGUGGACCGAUCCCUCUGGAAAUUAAGCUAUUAUAAUAUGCAUGUUCCUCUACAUCUGCUAUUGAUGUUCUCUCUACCUAGUAGUACAUUGGCCAAUUUGAUCUGAGCUACGCAGAAGUAGAAACCUCAAAAUUAAUUUCUCUGCAGGCUUUAUGGCAAAAGGUGGGCAGAUCCAAGGAUAGUACAUGAAUGAUGGGAUACAAGAGAGUGUAACUGUCUUUAACUGAGCCCUUGCAGAUAUGGCACUUGAAGUGUGGACCUUCUGGAGCACCAGGUGACAGCUCUGAGACAUAAACAUAUGGGCUGUGGUGCUCUCUACAAGUUUCUGGGGUUUUGAAGCUACUUGUUUCCAACUUAGCAAAUGUAGUGGUUGUAAUAAAUAAAUAAAGAUGAAAGAAUAUGAUAUAGGCAAAAACUUGCUAGAGAGUUGGAAUACAAUUUAUCCUUUGUCCCACAGACUCAGUAGAAGUGUGUAAAGACAUCUUUAUGUCCUUCUUUAUACUCGGUUGAUCCACCUAGUUUGAAGGAACCCAUACUAAGCAAGGCUCCCCACGUUUUUAAACAUGUAACCUCUUUCUUGAGUCUCUACAUCACUGAGAAAGAGUUCUGUGAAUGUUUCAGGAUUGGAAAGACCAAUUCUAUAAAACUAGAUUUUGUUCCCCAUACUCAGUUGAAUUAACGUUACCUUCUAUCAGUAGUUCCAGCAGAUACCAGUCCUUAAUUCCAAAAUUUGUAUCUGCAUUCACGUUGUACUGAAUUUAUUCACAAAUGGUUAAGUUUUUAUAUCCAGUUUUAAUUUGUCUUGUUAUGUACUUUGUUUAAAUACUGCCUUCACUUCAGAGUUAAAGAACAGUUGAAACUAUCUGUCCUGUAAGUUGAAAACUCAUUGCUCUUUAAGACAUGUGUUUGGCAAUACCUUUUGUUACUUGAAAAGCAAAAAUGUGUACUCAAAAUGCUUAUUUUAGUAUUAGGAAUGACAACCAGUUUCCUGGCCAGACUAAUCUUUGUUUGAAAAGUUUAUAGUAUUUUUCCUGGGGUGUGGUUUAGUGGUAGAAAAUAUCUCAGCAGAUGAAUAGUCACAUGCUAGUCAAUAGGACUGUGAAUGUGCUCCAAAAAAGGCAUUUGCUUUAAUAUGUUCCUGAAGCAGAAUGAAAUAGAGGUAGGAGGAAGUUCAGUGGGCUGUAAUCUGCUUGUGUGUUUAGAAAACAUGACUCCAACUGUGUGCUGAAAUUUGCUUACAGUCACUGAAACUUGGCAUUCUGUCACCAUAACUGUUUAUAAUUAGAUAGAUAACAACAGAUGACUGUAGACUCCAGUGGCUAGUGCUUUGCUAAUGACAAUGCCGUUGCAUUUGGUUUCUUGCAUUUUCCAAGUCUAAAAGAUUCCCAGCCUGUAUGUCAGUCCUUAGCAACGGUGGGCAUGAUGGUAAAGUUAUAGUAAGAAAAUUCAUACUUGCCUGCACAUGCCAUUUUUUGAAAGAAUCGUCCUGGAUACAUUUCAGAACAAUUCUGAAAUAAAUUAACAUUUCCCCAUUUGAGCACAUAUUGUUUGGUAUAACCUAGAAAAGAAAAUGAUAAACUUUUCUAAAUUUAAACUGAUAAAUGUGUAUGAAACACUUUUAAUAUCAUAAUAUGAAAGUUAUAGAUUUGCUAAUCUACUGAAUUUAAUCUUAGAUAUUAUAAACCAGGUACCUUAAACUGCUGCUAACACUUGCCCCACAUCCACUGCCCAUAUGUUUCAAAAUCAAAGCAGAGUGGUUAAAUUGCAGUAUUAAAUGCAGUAGUUUCAUUUUUUUGUAAUUUUUACUCCUUCCCUUUGUUACUUUCUUCAAUUUUUUCCAUGUUUUCCAUAUCAGGGUUUCCAGACACUGGGAGACCAGUAUAUUGUUUUCUGUGAAAUGGAGAAACGCCUCUGAUCAUCCUUGUUACUUCUUUCUCAGAAAGAUGAGAGGACUGGAACUUGCAGAUACAGGCACUCAUUGCUGCCAUAGCUUACAAAUGACUGGCAUCCAGCAGAUAUUGAUUUACAACUACAUGAUAUCUAGUCUUCUUUUCUUGUCCAGAGGACCAUUCUGCAAAGAAACCCUGUGAAAUGGCCUCCUUUGUUUUUUGUUUUUUUUUUUAAGUCUCUAAAGCGAUAGACUGCUCUCCUCUACCAGGAAACACCAGAAAUUCCCCCUCCUGCCCCGUCAAUCUUUUGGAGCUUUCUAAAGCCCAAAGGAGCAUUAGGUAAGAAGAUCAUUCCCCUGGUGUGAUUUUCACUCUUCCUGGUCACCCACAAGCUAUACUCUUCAAAAAUCAGCUGAAGUGCACAACAGAUGAUAAACAUUUCAAGCCAGUGGUUUAUAGCACACCACAACAAUGGAACUGUGAGCAAAUUAAAAUAUAAGGGGACUUCACAGAAUCACACAGAAUGGCCUGGGUUGGAAGGGACUUCAAGGAUCAUGAAUCUCCAACCCACCCCCCUGCCCCCCCGGCACUGGCAGGGCCACCAACCUCUACAUUUAAUACUAGAGCAGGCUGCCAAGAGCCCCGUCCAGCCUAGCCUUGAACACCUCCACGGAUGGGGGAUCCACAACCUCUCUGGGCAGCCUGUUCCAGCACCUUACCACUCUCACAGUAAAGAACUUGCCCCUGACAUCCAACCUAAAUCUUCCCUCCUUCAACUUAAAACCAUUUCCCCUUGUCCUGCUAUUAUCUCCCCUUUCAAAGAAUUGACUCCCCUAACUUGGCUUAAACACCAGAAAAAUGAAAUUAAAAAAAAAAGAGUAGCAACUUGAUUUUUUUUCAAGACCUUUUUAUUGUCCCAGUUGACCCAGUUGACAUAACUAUAGCCAAUAACUACUUAGAAACAAAUAAAUCUAAAAUUGAAGAUGUGUUUCAUUGCAAGUAACAAGUAUUAAGUAUCUUCAACAAAUGUGAAAAUUAAGUGCCCUUCCCAGUCUGUUUUGUUCCCAUAUCUUGGAUGGCAGUGGGUUUGCAGUGUGGUUUCUGGUUGUUGUGGACUGCAAGGAGUGCUCCUUAUCCCUCCAUCUGACCAUCUGUCUCUAGGUGAGUGAUAACACCUAUCCUGGCAGCUCUCUGGUUAUUCCAUUGCUGGCUGAGUGCUUUUGCUCACUAAGAUGUGUGUGCAGGGGGAAUGUUGAAAUGUGAAAAAUAUGUAGCUAGACUUUGCAUAAAGAUGAGAAAGAAAUGUCAGUUGUCAGAUCGGAUUUAUCGGCUUUGAGUGCAUCCACUGAAUCAACAGAGCCAAAGUUUAAAGUUCUCGUGAAGAAAUCCUGGCCUAAGUAAAGGCAGUGGGAAUGUCGCCAGGGCUGAAUUUAUUCCGAGCCCCUCCCACCCUUUUAAGGGCUGUAUAAUCUUAAUAAAUUCUUCCUGUUCUUCUCAGGUCAGUAGAAUCCUAUGCAUUAUCUUUAGAUUUACAUACCAAACUCUGAGCCAGGCCCGGCUUGGCAUAACUCCUGUAUUGCACUAGAUGUUUCUCUUUAGCUCUGACAGAAUAGCAACAAAAGGGGCUGAUCUUUACCUACGGGUUUUUCUUGGAAAGCUCAGGCUAUGCUGAACAUGGAGCCCAUCAGGACUCCUUGAGAGGCUUUUGCCAGAAGAGAUUUUACAACAAAAGCUUUCUGAGCUGAGCCACACUUGCAGGUUGGGUUUAGCAUAGCAUCCCGAUUAAAAGAUUUUCCAAAAGGCUGUUAAUGUAAACCUCAGAUAGAACCGAUAUACAGAGGAGAAACAGCAAGAUUCACAUUUUCAAGCUGGACUAAAACAAAUGUACGAAAUGCAGAUGCUGCAAAAGGAAAUUAAAAAAGACUUUGUUUUUAUAAUAAUAAAUUGUUUUAACUGUUUGCUGUUGGUUGGUUUGUUUUUAAAAUAAGGGGAUACCACAAUAAAAUAAGUUCUUACCUGUGCUCGACAGAAAGAAAAGAGAGAGAAGCAAACCAAGAGAACUGCAACCACUCUCAUGAUGAGGUUUUAUGUCUUUGUAGAGAAAUUCCCCUGGCCGGGACUUUCCCAAUUGCCAGUCGUUAGGUUUGUGUUUAAUUUUUAACCUUUGGUAAAACACUCUGAAGUGGACUCAGAAACAACUACGGGAGCCUUAGAUAUCAACGGAUGAGUCUGCUCUCUCCACACGGAUCCCACCCCAUUUAACCUGUUUUACUGUAAAUAGAGACCAAAGGGAAGCCCUUGAAGCCAACGGUUACAAGGGAGUGCUCAGCAGGGUCUCUCGCUCCCCGCCUGCUGCCAACGCAGACCGAUGGAGCCGCGGGCCGAUCUCCUGGCAGCAGGCACCCCGCUCUGCAGGGAGCUGUUAGGGCAGGUGCGUUCUUAGGUGAGAUACGUGUGUCUGUAUGCAGGCAGGCAAACGGAACGGAUCAACUCCACUAUCUCCGUGCGAGAGCGUAACCGGCGGAGCCUUGCUCAGAGAACUGUUGGGGCAGUGGCCAAUCCACUGCAUCCCACCUGCGGGCGGUUUCCGGGAGAACCGCGGUCUCGGCCGGCACAACGGAACGGCUCCUGCGA